Molecule: ribosomal RNA, 406 nt
Filed under: uncultured bacterium
Lineage: Bacteria
Description: partial 16S ribosomal RNA
Rfam family: Bacterial small subunit ribosomal RNA
Source: RNAcentral
AUUGAACGCUGGCGGCAGGCUUAACACAUGCAAGUCGAGCGAGCGGCGGACGGGUGAGUAAUGUCUGGGAAACUGCCUGAUGGAGGGGGAUAACUACUGGAAACGGUAGCUAAUACCGCCUACCUUCAGAUGAACCCAUAUGGGAGUAGCUAGUAGUUGGGGUCAUGGCUCACCAAGGCGACGAUCCCUAGCUGGUCUGAGAGGAUGACCGGCCACACUGGAACUGAGACACGGUCCAGACUCCUACGGGAGGCAGCAGUGGGGAAUAUUGGACAAUGGGCGCAAGCCUGAUGCAGCCAUGCCGCGUGUGUGAAGAAGGCCUUCGGGUUGUAAAGCACUUUAAGCGAGGAGGCGUUACUCGCAGAAGAAGCACCGGCUAACUCCGUGCCAGCAGCCGCGGUAAUUC